GUAGAUGUCGCCAAGUGGUUAAGGCAGUGGAUUGUGGUUCCAUGAUUCACCGGUUCAAAUCCGGUCAUUUACC
RNAcentral lists this transfer RNA (73 nucleotides) under Nitzschia alba. Its description in RNAcentral is "tRNA-His". It matches the Rfam family "tRNA". From Rfam's summary of the family: Transfer RNA (tRNA) molecules are approximately 80 nucleotides in length. Lineage: Eukaryota; Bacillariophyta; Bacillariophyceae; Bacillariales; Bacillariaceae. The record is from RNAcentral.